Arachis duranensis is the source of this 1265-nucleotide long non-coding RNA. RefSeq lists it as uncharacterized. The record is from RefSeq and is a predicted model, not a curated record. The transcript is spliced from 4 exons. Lineage: Eukaryota; Viridiplantae; Streptophyta; Magnoliopsida; Fabales; Fabaceae.
GUUUUAGGGUUAAGCUGUUGCAGCUGUGGGUUGUGAUGGUUGAUGUUUUUUUUAAGAAUCGUUGCUGCUGGGGUAACUGAGAUUGCUACUGCUAGUCCUAAUGUUGCUACUGUUGCUGUUGAUUUGUCCCAAUUCAAGUUCAGUGUCACUGCCCUAGAGUUGUUUCUGUAUUUAAUUCCAUCAAAUUCGAUGUUGCUGCGAGUGUAAUCGGAGUUGGUAAUGCCGCCAUCAUAUCUCAACUUGGCCAACAUCAUCCUCGUUGUUCUGAUUCCAAUUUCCCCAAUUUUGAAACGGAACUGUUGAAGCUAUGACCGGUUUUGUAGUAGCUUGUUGCUACCACCAAUGCUGAUUUAUGGUAGAAUGAUGAGGCUGCGAUGUUGAGGGUGCAGUCCAGCCUACUUUCUCGCCAAAAUUCUGCCUUCGGUUUCUUUUAAUUGUGACAUUGAGGUUGAAAACUCGAUACUCUAUUGACUCUACGACGCAAGUGUGACCGGACACUAUAUAAAUUCUCGGGAAUGUUAUCCCCAUUGAGCAAUAUUGAUUAUUUGAGAAAAAGUUAUGCAUAGACUCUUGGGGAUGCACGUUGGGGGACAGUCUAAGGACAAUUCAGACUUGUCACGUUGGCUGGAUAAUCGACAGAUGAGCCUCAUCAGCCAUAGGACAGGCAUGCAUUAUAUGCAUUUGUAUGUUUUGCUUGGGUUUAAACUUAUUUUGGUUUGCCUAAUUGCUAAACUGUUCGUAACUGCUACUUGAACUAUUUGCUGUAACUGCUACCUACUUGUGCUUUCCUUGUUUGUCUUGCCUGUGUUUGUCCUGGCGUGCUACUUUUGAGAAUGAAUUUUGGUGCUGAAUUAAUGAUUGUGUUGUUUGAUUGUGUAAUUAGUUUCUGAAUGAGAUUUUCUUAUAAAAAAGGAAAAGGUUUUGGAUUUCUGAAAAAAAUUAAACGUUGUUUCUUUGAAAAGGUAUUGAACGAUUACCUAUUGGUUUUUAAGAGAUUCAUAAGGCAAUGAUAAUCACUGAGCUUGAAAACAGUUUUCUUAUAAAAUAUCUUCUUAUGACAAUUCUGAAAUUCCGUGGUGAGACUGUGUGGUUAAGUUCUCACCCCCUACAGCUUUACCUUCAGGAAUCAGAGGAAGGAGUCUAGUGAAGAGUUAUACUACGUUUUUGGUUUAUAUGGUAUUGCAUUGAUUUGAUAAUUUUUCUUCCAUCGUCUUUGUUAUUACAAUCUUGUAAGAGGGACAUGAGUUGUUUGUUAUAUAUAUAUA